GAGUAAUGUCUGGGAAACUGCCUGAUGGAGGGGGAUAACUACUGGAAACGGUGGCUAAUACCGCAUAACGUCGCAAGACCAAAGAGGGGGACCUUCGGGCCUCUUGCCAUCAGAUGUGCCCAGAUGGGAUUAGCUUGUUGGUGAGGUAACGGCUCACCAAGGCGACGAUCCCUAGCUGGUCUGAGAGGAUGACCAGCCACACUGGAACUGAGACACGGUCCAGACUCCUACGGGAGGCAGCAGUGGGGAAUAUUGCACAAUGGGCGCAAGCCUGAUGCAGCCAUGCCGCGUGUAUGAAGAAGGCCUUCGGGUUGUAAAGUACUUUCAGCGGGGAGGAAGGUGUUGUGGUUAAUAACCGCAGCAAUUGACGUUACCCGCAGAAGAAGCACCGGCUAACUCCGUGCCAGCAGCCGCGGUAAUACGGAGGGUGCAAGCGUUAAUCGGAAUUACUGGGCGUAAAGCGCACGCAGGCGGUCUGUCAAGUCGGAUGUGAAAUCCCCGGGCUCAACCUGGGAACUGCAUUCGAAACUGGCAGGCUUGAGUCUUGUAGAGGGGGGUAGAAUUCCAGGUGUAGCGGUGAAAUGCGUAGAGAUCUGGAGGAAUACCGGUGGCGAAGGCGGCCCCCUGGACAAAGACUGAC
RNAcentral lists this ribosomal RNA (640 nucleotides) under Salmonella enterica. RNAcentral describes it as "partial 16S ribosomal RNA". It matches the Rfam family "Bacterial small subunit ribosomal RNA", at positions 108 to 744 of the family's 1533-position model. RNAcentral also lists the same sequence under 1 other name. The record is from RNAcentral. Lineage: Bacteria; Pseudomonadati; Pseudomonadota; Gammaproteobacteria; Enterobacterales; Enterobacteriaceae.